GCUCCUUGAAUGCAACUUGCUUAUUUAGGCCUGUCGCCCUGUUUUGGAGGUAAUCUCUGCUACUGUUAGUGAAUGCAGUGAGCUGCUGAAAUUGGUGGCCUUUGCCAAAGAGCAAAAUACCAACUGAUGUAAUUGGAAUGUGAGAUCUGCAACGCUUGAAAAUUCUGCCAGAAAGUUGUUAAAUGGAGAUGACAUCUCGUUAAAGGGAAGAAUGGGGUCUCUGUGCAUGUUUUCUGUCCUUAGUCCAGGCACUGGAUCUCCAGCAAGUUUCUUCUGCAAAAGAUAAGCAUCUGAAAAAGGAGAUGUAGAAGAGAUUGAUGUAUGGGUGAAGUGUGUAGGAGCAAGCCUACUUUACUCCAGGAUGUGACAUCCCAGUGCAGCAAAUGAAGACAUGGCUGAAAGGCUAAUUUAAAAUCUUCUUCUCCCAUGAGGACUUUCUCCAAAGAAGCCGUCUCCUUGCUGCACCAAACAGAAGCUUGUUGAGUACUCUCAGGAGUCUUCCUUUCCUGUAGGGGCCGAUCCCAUUCCUGCUAACCAACAAGAGACCUGCUAAGCAACAGGACAUGUGGGAUGGGACAGGAGGGGGGAUUGGAGCUCCAGAGGAAGCUCUGGCUGCAGUGUGAGGACGAAACAGAGGCCAGCAGCUCUCCAGAGUCAAUUGGGUGCUACAGAGUUCAAAGAGCAGAGCCAAUGUUUGCAGAUGCAAAGCAGACCUGAUGCUGAUCCCAACCCUUCUAGAUCCUGGUCUGAUAUGAAAAAGAAAAUGAUUUUGUAGUCUUUCAAUUAAACACCUUAUCAAUGAUCUCAAAGCAUCUGCAGCGACUGAGUGCUAAGGAGGAGAAAUUCACUCUGCAUGAGAGAGAGAUCUGUGUCCAAAGAGUGCCAGAGCCUACAUGUAGCACAG
Molecule: long non-coding RNA, 904 nt
Filed under: Gallus gallus (chicken)
Lineage: Eukaryota; Metazoa; Chordata; Aves; Galliformes; Phasianidae
Source: RNAcentral